CACGUAGGGGGCAAGCGUUGUCCGGAUUUAUUGGGCGUAAAGAGCUCGUAGGUGGUUCGGUAAGUCGGGUGUGAAAACUCUGGGCUCAACUCAGAGACGCCACCCGAUACUGCUGUGACUUGAGUCUGGUAGGGGAGUGUGGAAUUCCCAGUGUAGCGGUGAAAUGCGCAGAUAUUGGGAGGAACACCAGUGGCGAAGGCGGCGCUGUGGGCCAGUACUGACACUGAGGAGCGAAAGCGUGGGUAGCGAACAGG
RNAcentral lists this ribosomal RNA (254 nucleotides) under uncultured bacterium. RNAcentral's name for it is "partial 16S ribosomal RNA". It matches the Rfam family "Bacterial small subunit ribosomal RNA", at positions 524 to 776 of the family's 1533-position model. The record is from RNAcentral.